GUGUACUUAGUUGAAUGGUUAGAGCAUCACUCAUGAAUGCUGAGGUCGUGGGUUCGAUUCCCACAGUACACA
Molecule: transfer RNA, 72 nt
Organism: Puccinia sorghi
Lineage: Eukaryota; Fungi; Basidiomycota; Pucciniomycetes; Pucciniales; Pucciniaceae
Rfam family: tRNA
About the family: Transfer RNA (tRNA) molecules are approximately 80 nucleotides in length. Their secondary structure includes four short double-helical elements and three loops (D, anti-codon, and T loops).
Source: Rfam